RNAcentral lists this long non-coding RNA (208 nucleotides) under Olea europaea (common olive). RNAcentral describes it as "long non-coding RNA (OEUR_LNC000016)". The record is from RNAcentral. Lineage: Eukaryota; Viridiplantae; Streptophyta; Magnoliopsida; Lamiales; Oleaceae.
CUCUGGAACUACAGAAACUGAGCAUUUCACAGUCUGGAUUGAAAUCUGAGACAAGGACUUGUUCUUAACGGCUUAAAGGAUUGCAAGGUGAUCGGUUUAAAGGGUGGAAAUGAAGGCCUGGGAAAAUGGGUUGUUGGGAAAACUGAAGAGGAGAGAUGGGAAGUGGAAAUUUUGGUUUGGGGAAGCAUUUGGGCUGACAAAAUUAGCG